RNAcentral lists this transfer RNA (77 nucleotides) under Planctomycetota bacterium. RNAcentral's name for it is "Planctomycetes bacterium (activated sludge metagenome) tRNA-His". It matches the Rfam family "tRNA". From Rfam's summary of the family: Transfer RNA (tRNA) molecules are approximately 80 nucleotides in length. Lineage: Bacteria; Pseudomonadati; Planctomycetota. The record is from RNAcentral.
GUGGCUGUAGCUCAGUCGGUUAGAGCGCCAGAUUGUGGUUCUGGAGGUCGCGGGUUCGAUUCCCGUCAGCCACCCCA